This 99-nucleotide ribosomal RNA is filed under the name uncultured bacterium. RNAcentral describes it as "partial 16S ribosomal RNA". It matches the Rfam family "Bacterial small subunit ribosomal RNA", at positions 1386 to 1482 of the family's 1533-position model. The record is from RNAcentral.
CACACCGCCCGUCACACCAUGGGAGUCGUUUGCUCCAGAAGUGCCUGCACUAACUCGCAAGAGAAGUAGGGCCCCAAGGAGUGAACGGUAACUGGGGUG